Molecule: unclassified non-coding RNA, 301 nt
Filed under: Hevea brasiliensis (rubber tree)
Lineage: Eukaryota; Viridiplantae; Streptophyta; Magnoliopsida; Malpighiales; Euphorbiaceae
Source: RNAcentral
GAAAGACCAAAAUCAGCAACUUUUGCCACAUAAUGUUCAUCAAGCAAGAUGUUUGUUGACUUAACAUCUCCAUGAAUGAUUCCCCAAUCAGAACCAGUGUGAAGGUAAUGAAGACCCUUAGCUGCACCUAUGCAGAUUUCAAGCCUUUGCUUCCAAGUCAAUCUAGGUGGCACAGAUGCAGUGUUUGAGUUCUCUUUCCAGGUGUAUAGCUGCUCUCUCAGAGUCCCCUUUUCCAUGAAUUCAUAAACCAGUAUCAUCUCAGAUCCUUCAUAACAGUACCCAAUCAAGGAAACAAGGUGAC